Aedes albopictus (Asian tiger mosquito) is the source of this 74-nucleotide non-coding RNA. The record is from Rfam. Lineage: Eukaryota; Metazoa; Arthropoda; Insecta; Diptera; Culicidae.
UGUUCUGUGGCUCAGUUGAAUAAAGCUCUAGGACUAGCGAUACGGAGUCGUGGGUUCGAAUCCCACCAAAACAA